AACGCACCUUGCGCCCUCUGGUAUUCCGGAGGGCAUGCCUGUUUGAGUGUCAUGUAGACUCAACCCCUCGGGUUUCCGAGAUGGUUGGAUAUGGGUGCUGCCUGUCAUGGGCUCGCCUUAAAUGUCUUAGCGGUUUCAUACCACCCCAGUUGGCGUAAUAAGUUUCGUCAGUGAAGGUGUGUGUGUCCGCUCACAAUCGCCCUCGGGCAUCUUUUGACUCUGACCUCAAAUCAGGUAGGGCUACCCGCUGAACUUAA
RNAcentral lists this unclassified non-coding RNA (257 nucleotides) under uncultured fungus. RNAcentral's name for it is "sequence contains ITS2". The stretch from base 1 to 52 matches the Rfam family "5.8S ribosomal RNA", at positions 103 to 154 of the family's 154-position model. The record is from RNAcentral. Lineage: Eukaryota; Fungi.